RNAcentral lists this ribosomal RNA (259 nucleotides) under uncultured Planctomycetota bacterium. Its description in RNAcentral is "uncultured planctomycete partial 16S ribosomal RNA". It matches the Rfam family "Bacterial small subunit ribosomal RNA", at positions 574 to 831 of the family's 1533-position model. Lineage: Bacteria; Pseudomonadati; Planctomycetota. The record is from RNAcentral.
GGUGGGUUUGUAAGUCAGAUGUGAAAGCCUUCUGUUCAACGGGAGAAUUGCAUCUGAAACUACAGACCUUGAGUAUAGGAGGGGAGAAUGGAACUUCUGGUGGAGCGGUGAAAUGCGUAGAUAUCAGAAGGAACGCCGGCGGCAAAAGCGAUUCUCUGGCCUAUUACUGACACUCAGUGUGCGAAAGCUAGGGGAGCAAACGGGAUUAGAUACCCCGGUAGUCCUAGCCGUAAACGAUGGGCACUAAGUAGAGGGGUUU